UUGGCUUAUAAAAGAGAGGCCAGCUCAGUUCCAAGAAAUAAGAAUUGGAAAUGCUGCCAAGUCCAAACAAGAGAGCAGUGAUGCUUUAGAUAAGUUGCUAAGAGAAGCAAGUGCAAUGAAUAACAAUGAAUUCAAAGAGAGUGAGGAUGAACUGAGAAGACAUAUGAGUUAUGCCGAUCAGUUGUUCAAGCUAGCACCAACCACACCUGAAGAAGGUGCAGACAGCAAAUG
This is a long non-coding RNA of Cyprinodon tularosa, 231 nucleotides long. RefSeq lists it as uncharacterized. The record is from RefSeq and is a predicted model, not a curated record. The transcript has 3 exons. Lineage: Eukaryota; Metazoa; Chordata; Actinopteri; Cyprinodontiformes; Cyprinodontidae.